Molecule: ribosomal RNA, 497 nt
Filed under: uncultured bacterium
Lineage: Bacteria
Description: partial 16S ribosomal RNA
Rfam family: Bacterial small subunit ribosomal RNA
Source: RNAcentral
GAUGAACGCUGGCGGCGUGCCUAAUACAUGCAAGUCGAGCGAACAGACGAGGAGCUUGCUCCUCUGACGUUAGCGGCGGACGGGUGAGUAACACGUGGAUAACCUACCUAUAAGACUGGGAUAACUUCGGGAAACCGGAGCUAAUACCGGAUAAUAUAUUGAACCGCAUGGUUCAAUAGUGAAAGACGGUUUUGCUGUCACUUAUAGAUGGAUCCGCGCCGCAUUAGCUAGUUGGUAAGGUAACGGCUUACCAAGGCAACGAUGCGUAGCCGACCUGAGAGGGUGAUCGGCCACACUGGAACUGAGACACGGUCCAGACUCCUACUGGAGGCAGCAGUAGGGAAUCUUCCGCAAUGGGCGAAAGCUUGACGGAGCAACGCCGCGUGAGUGAUGAAGGUCUUCGGAUCGUAAAACUCUGUUAUUAGGGAAGAACAAAUGUGUAAGUAACUAUGCACGUCUUGACGGUACCUAAUCAGAAAGCCACGGCUAACUACGUG